AGAUCUUGCGUGGAAAAUGUAACGGGGCUAAAGUGUUAAACCGAAGACAUGGACUUCUGCUUAUGCAGGAGUGGUAGAGGAGCGUUGAUAUCGCAGUGAAGUCAGAUUGUAAAGUCUGGUGGAGCGUUAUCAAGUGAGAAUGCUGGAAUCAGUAACCUUAAGACAGGUGAGAAUCCUGUCGGUCGUAAGAGCAAGGUUUCCAGGGCUACAGUAAUUGUCCCUGGGUUAGUCGGUCCUAAGCCGAGGCGUAUCAGCGUAGGCGAUGGACAACAGGUUAAUAUUCCUGUACAGGUAGUAGUUGUGAACAGUUCACGGUGAAUGACCGGAGCGGAUUAAUGGUUUAUCCGUCCAAGGUUUCAAGGAAUUGAAACUGAGUGAAAGAUAUUCUUCGGAAUAUUGAUUCUGGGUACAACGCUGGCUAGAAAAGCUGGUUAACUUAUGCUGCUGCCUACCGUACCGCAAACCAACACCGGUGCUCGGGUCGAGUAGACCAAGACCUACGUGAGAACCUUCGCUAAGGAACUCGGCAAAAAAGCGUCCGUAACUUCGGAAUAAGGACUGCCCUCUCAUUAAGAUGAGGAUUUGCUAGAAACUUGGUGGAAACAUAAGGUUAAUAGUAUUUACCUAAUAAUUUAACCAAAUUUUUCGUCAAGACAGAACACAUCAGGAAAUAUCCUGUGAUAUCUUUUCUAGUAACUCAAUCGUCAUUUUGAUGAGAGGGCCGCAGCUAAAGAGCCCACGGAACUGUUUACCAAAAACAUAGGUCUCUGCUAACGCGAAAGCGGAUGUAUAGGGGCUGACUCCUGCCCGGUGUCGGAAGGUUAAGGGGAGAGCUUUACGGUUCGAACUGAAGCCCCGAUGAACGGCGGCGAUAACUAUGAUCGUCCUAAGGUAGCGAAAUUCCUUGUCUGGUAAGUUCAGACCCGCACGAAUGGAGUAAUCAUGUGGGCACUGUCUCGGCGAAGGCCACGGUGAACGUGCAUUGGCGGUAAAGAUGCCGUCUGAUCAUGCCAGGACGAGAAGACCCCAUGGAGCUUUACUACAACUUUGCAUUGAUUAUUGGGACAUUUUGUGUAGAAUAGGUGGAAGACUUUGAAGCAGAUACGCUAGUAUUUGUGGAGUCGAAAUGUGAAAUACCACCCUGAAUGUUUUAGUAAUCUCACUUUUGACCUGAUCGGCCAAAAGGACCGUGCAUGGCGGGUAGUUUAACUGGGGCGGUUGCCUCCUAAAGAGUAGCGGAGGCGUUCAAAGGUUGGCUAACUACGGAUGGAAAUCGUAGUGAUAGUGUAUGCGCAAAAGCCAGCUUGACUGUGAGGGCCACAACCCAAUCAGACACGAAAGUGGGAGCAAAUGACCCGCUGUACAGAACUUCGGUUCAAUUUACGUGGGAAAGACAGCGCACACGGAUAAAAGUUACCCUGGGGAUAACAGGCUGAUCGCGCCCAAUAGUUCACAUAGACGGCGCGGUUUGGCACCUCGAUGUCGGCUCAUCACAUCCUGGAGGGGGAGCACCUUCCAAGGGUUCGGCUGUUCGCCGAUUAAAGUGGUACGCGAGCUGGGUUCAGAACGUCGUGAGACAGUUCGGUUUAUAUCCGGCAUGAUCGUUAGGAAUUUUGAGGAGAUCUACCCUUAGUACGAGAGGACCGGGGCGGACGAACCUCUAGUGUAUCGGUUGUGACCACCUGUUGCAUUGCCGAGUAGCUAUGUUCGGAAGAGAUAAGCGCUGAAAGCAUAUUAAGCGCGAAGCCCACUCCAAGAUUAGAAUUCCCUAUGAGCUCCCAGAGAGAAGAUCUGGUUGAUAGGUGCAAGAUGGAAGUAUCGUAAGAUAUGGAGUCGAAGCAUACUAAUAGAGCCAUCGCCUUUUUA
RNAcentral lists this ribosomal RNA (1866 nucleotides) under human oral metagenome. Its description in RNAcentral is "bacterial LSU rRNA". It matches the Rfam family "Bacterial large subunit ribosomal RNA", at positions 1154 to 2925 of the family's 2925-position model. The record is from RNAcentral.